This is a long non-coding RNA of Dromiciops gliroides (monito del monte), 538 nucleotides long. RefSeq lists it as uncharacterized. Lineage: Eukaryota; Metazoa; Chordata; Mammalia; Microbiotheria; Microbiotheriidae. The record is from RefSeq and is a predicted model, not a curated record. The transcript is spliced from 3 exons.
AAGGAGAACAAUACAGUUUCUCUCUUGGGUGAGCUGCCUGAAAACCUGGCCCCUUCCCAGGCCCAGAAAGAAAUACCUGGAAGAGGGAUUACUUGGAAAUGAAUGACUAAACCCUCAACUUCCUGACCCAGAAAUGGAUCAAGACAAAGUCCAUUAUCAAGAAAUAGGAUUGGACUCUGGAAAAUGCAGGGAACUUGGUCCAGAGGGAAACUGUCUCUUUGGUCAAUAACCAGCUUGGCAGCCUGAGGUCCAAACUGAGGAGAUACUAUGGAUUAGUUGUGUGUUUAUCCAGUUUCUUGGAGCAUGAAUCAAUAAAACCUGAACCAAUCAGGUUUUAGCAUUACAAAGAAAAGACUUUUGGUUGAGACGGGGUUUUUAACCUGGGUCCCAAGAACUUUAAAAUUAUAUACACAUACCCAGGAGCCUUGAGGAUCCCAGUGGAUGAUCUGAAGACAAUGUGCUCUCCUGUGACAGGAAGAGGAAUAAAAGACCACUAAAUACAAGAGAAUAUUGAGACUCUUGACUUUCUGCGUAGUGU